Molecule: small RNA, 294 nt
Filed under: Pan troglodytes (chimpanzee)
Lineage: Eukaryota; Metazoa; Chordata; Mammalia; Primates; Hominidae
Description: processed transcript
Source: RNAcentral
UGGACCUCCCAGGAUCAAGCACCUCUCUUACAAAGUCUUUCACUAGCUCUUCUCCUUCUUCCCCAUCAAGAGCAAAAGUUACUCAGGGCUCAACGGCAACCCCUCCAGUGAGUUAGAUUACUGUAGCACUUACAGACAGCACUUGGAUGUCCCUCGGGACUCACCAAGAGCCAUUAGUUUCAAGAACGGCUGGCAAAUGGCCCGGCAAAACGCAGAAAUCUGGAGCAGCACGGAAGAAACCGUCUCUCCCAAAAUCAAAUCCCGGAGCUGUGACGAUCUCCUAAACGAUGACUG